RNAcentral lists this non-coding RNA (3795 nucleotides) under synthetic construct. The record is from RNAcentral.
GUGUAUCAUACUGUUCCCAGAGACUUCCGUGUGUGAUUGCAUAUUGCCCAUUAAUUCUGUGGCAAAUGAUCCCUCUAGCAGUAAAUUGGUGGUACACUUUAUAUUAUCAUUGAUGGUGAUAAAUUCUGGAACAUACAGGCGAUAGCAAGGGCAGGCAGUGAUUGCGCUCUGUUUGUUGAAGUCUUCCAUAUGUUCGCUACAGACAUAGCUGACAACGUUCACCAUCUUCUCAUUGGCAUCUUUGAGGUUAUACAAAAAACUUGUUGUCUUCUCUCCUGAAUUUACAGAGGAGAUAAAAAAGAUCUUGGCAUCCUUCUGUAACAUAAACCCCAAGAUUGCUGGAAGUGCUUCCUUCUUUAUGAAAUUUGCUUCAUCAACAAACAGUAGAUUAAAUGUCUGCCCCCGGAUGCUCUGUGAAUAAAUCAAAGAAUCUGGUUACUGAUCAGGAUCUCCUGGAUGUGGUGAAUUUUUUUAACAGACCAUUACAUGCUCUCAUUGCUGAGGUGUCAAAAACCACUUCUGAUUUGGAACUUGUCAGGUCAACCACCCAAGGUAUUGAAAAUAUCUGUCUCCUGCUAGACUUGGUAGGAACAGAAUGUAUAAAAGAUGCAAGCGCGGCCAAGACAAGUGUAUGAUGCGGCCUCUUUCUAACCCUUUAACAGAGGCCUAUAACGUGCAAAAUUUGUACCAGUGUCUAAAUUGUGAUGAUUAUCACUUGUGUAAUGGUUCUCUCAACUGUGAUCCUCUGGUGGAUCGAGAGGGAAUUGUGUGCACAGUCACUGGAAAGUAUAUCCAGUGUAAUGUCAGGGAAUCACCCAUGUGUGGGGCAGCGUGUCUGGACGUGGACAUUCACCCAGAGGACAAUACAGACUGCAUUCUGCGGGCACUGUUUGGUGACAUUGUAGAUAUUAUUAAUAAAUUGGAUGAUAUUGCUGAAAUUAAAGAUAAGAUCCUCGCUGGAGACUCCCUAAAUGAGCACAUCAAGAAGAAAAUUGAGUGUACCUUUCCAAUGUGCGCCAACAUCAUUAAUUGUAAUAGCCAAGGCUAUUCCAUACUUUGUAGCAUGUUUGUCCAUAUUAUUAUGUCAAUCUAUGCCAACAAAACCAUAUAUGGCCACAUGCUAUUUAAAUGCACCAGAAAUAAAAAGUAUGACACCAUUGCCAAGAAAAUUAGAGAGAAAUGGAUGUAUUUAGAAUAAAUAAAAAAAGUGUUCCUUUACAACAAGAUGAGCUCCUGGUCGAUCUGUUUCUCCCAGAACAUUUAUUGGCAAUUUAUGGCAUACUACCCAACAGGAACUUUGUGUACACCUCCUCUGUGUGUGAUUAUCAAUCUGGUCACGUCCUGCCUUAUAGAAGAGUUUGGGGAAAAUUUAUGAAGGCAGGUGAGUCUGGAGGCCCAGUUGGAAGUCAGGGGCUGUGUGUCUCUAUUAUUGUGAGAGUUCAUCAGAAUCUUUCUUGCCUGGACAUGGCCCUGUUAAAAGUUUCAAACUGGGAUGAGGGCUUCUUUAGAAUAAUUAAAUUUUCUCUGCUUAAUCUCCUUAGAAUGUUCUAUAUCACCUCAGUCCCACCCGUCACCAGGCUCAAAAAAACCGCCUUUGAGGAGCUCUGCAACCAAGUGUCCAGUGAUAAGCCCCCUGCCCACGCAGCUGCGUCUUUUCUCCUGUCUUUGUUGCCCAACACCGUCUGUGAGACUACCAAAACACACUGUGCGCUGGAGAACCCUGGCUACAUCAGAGGCUCAAACCCACCCACGUGUCAAACACAGCCAGCCACGGAGACACUGCCCUGUAAGAACAGGAGGACAGAAAGGCAGCCCAGGACAGAGUACAGUUGGAAAUUGCUCCACCAUGUUGAGAAUGGUGCUCCCUACUAUGUUGAAGAUACCCAUAACCCCAUAGAGGCACAACAUAUUCAUCAGAAGCUAUUAACAGUCAUGACUGGAGACCCCCCCGCCAAAGCCCCAACUGACAUAUUUUUAAUGGAUACUGACUUCCUCCACGCUGUUCAAAAUAGAUUCAUCGACUCAAUUGAUCUCCCUGGUGUCAAAGAUGGUGGUUUGAAUAUUUUUCAGAAGUUUUCCAUCUUCAUCACUUAUGAUGAGACCACUAAACAUUUAUAUGAAAUUUUCCUAGACUCUCUAAUCACCCUCAGAAGCAAAAGCUCCAAAUAUCCUGCUUGGCUUAUGGCAUACUAUCACGGGCCUUCCUUUCAGGGGGUGUGGUUAGAUAUUGUAAAUGCCACUGCAACUGGAGAGGUAUUCAAGGGGGAUUCCAUAUAUUUAGGUAAAUGUCACGAGGGACUUUCUCCCACAUCAAUAGAUAAGCUAUUGAAAGGGCGUGGGAUAUUUUACAAUAAUUUGGUUCUUCUUUUGGUUCACUCAGAUCUGACUGCUUGGCUACUUCUUCCUGGAGGAUUUGUUAUUAAAGGAACAUACAUUCUGGGAAUUCAAGAAAAGGCCUUUGUUGGCAGAUAUUAUGGCAACCAAAGAAGAUAUAAUUCAGACAUUUCUGAAUAAAGAGUGUAUAUGGAUUGUAAAUAAAGCUUCAUGUUGCAGAAAGAAGGUCUUUACAUGCACCACGUCCAUUUCACCAAGCCUGAAACACCACUUUGGUGUGCCAGACGAUGGGGCAUGGUGCCUAAACGUCACUGUGUUGAUUCUGAAGCCUAAACAAUCUCCAUUUUCUGUUACAGUGUUUAUAAAUGGGAAACCCAUACUCUGCUCCAAUUCACAGUUAAUUUCUAUCCAGAAGGUAUCUGGCAGAGAGCAUAUGGCUGUGAUAUAUUUUGGAAAAUUUACAGGGAAGUCAGCCAUUCCAGUACCUAUGGAUCCUACAAUUCUAGAUCCUGGUUCUGACAGCCCACACAUUUUGUGUUCAGAUGUAAUGGAGUCCUCCACGUUGGUUGACCUGCCAGUUGUUGGUUCAAGUAAGCAAGUAGGAUAUACUGCCUGGCUUGCGAAUAACAGUAUCUAUGAAUACAUGUUGAGUACAGAACAUCAGAUGAUGUGUCCGUCCCUACCAGUGUUUCCCUCCCUGUCUAAGAUCCUCAAUAUUAUGACGUCCUGCACAAGUCCAACCUGUAAAAAAUGUGCAGGAUAUCGGAGGCACUGUAAGGUCUGCAGUGGUUAUACUGAUGCUACUGGAGAUGGGUAUUCGCCUUCAUGUCCCUGCACAACAUCAUGCGCUCUCAAACCAGGUGACAUCAUCCCCAUAACUGGACACCAUACUUUGCUGCCAUUGUUGUUUGAUCCUGUCAAUGCCCACAGUGUCACACGGCUCAGAAUCACCCCUACCAGUUCACCUCAGCCCUUGGAUCAAAUUAUUACUGGUAUCACCGAGUCAGGGGAGAGUGUUCCAAUUACCCUGGAGGCGUGGAAACUCGUGAGGCUAUCUGACCUUUACUCCCAUCUCUAUAUUAUAUCAUGUAAGGCACUUAAAUCACACUUACAUUCUUGUUGAAGCAUGUGGCACACAUCAAGGUGCUGGAUUUUUUCCCAGGAUGUGAGUACAGGAUCACCCCAUUUUCCUUUUUAAUGUCAAUAUUCUUUCUUGGGAACCAGGCCAGCAGAAUGUUUGAGAUUUCCAGGAAAACUGCCAAGGACACAUGUUUUUGGUGGGCUACGUAGCCAAUAUGUAAAUCAUCCACUGAUGUCAGAAGCAUGCUUAUGAUUGCUGUCACAAUCCAGGUUUUGCCAUGGCGCCGGGGAAUCAAAAAGGCUGGUGAUUUUUGCAAAAAUGUUAACAAGUCUGUGUUGUCAAAAUAUAACAUGUCUAAUAAAAAUUUGAAUUCAUCAAAA